This 497-nucleotide ribosomal RNA is filed under the name uncultured bacterium. RNAcentral's name for it is "partial 16S ribosomal RNA". It matches the Rfam family "Bacterial small subunit ribosomal RNA", at positions 28 to 507 of the family's 1533-position model. The record is from RNAcentral.
GACGAACGCUGGCGGCGUGCCUAAUACAUGCAAGUAGAACGCUGAAGCUUGGUGCUUGCACCGAGCGGAUGAGUUGCGAACGGGUGAGUAACGCGUAGGUAACCUGCCUGGUAGCGGGGGAUAACUAUUGGAAACGAUAGCUAAUACCGCAUAAGAGUAGAUGUUGCAUGACAUUUGCUUAAAAGGUGCAAUUGCCUCACUACCAGAUGGACCUGCGUUGUAUUAGCUAGUUGGUGAGGUAACGGCUCACCAAGGCAACGAUACAUAGCCGACCUGAAAGGGUGAUCGGCCACACUGGGAAUGAGACACGGCCCAGACUCCUACGGGAAGCAGCAGUAGGGAAACUUCGGCAAAUGACGGAAGUCUGACCGAGAAACGCCGCGGGAGUGAAGAAGGGUUUCGGAUCGUAAAGCUCUGUUGUAAGAGAAGAACGAGUGUGAGAGUGGAAAGUUCACACUGUGACGGUAGCUUAACAGAAAGGGACGGCUAACUACGUG